CCUACGGGAGGCAGCAGUGGGGAAUAUUGGACAAUGGGGGGAACCCUGAUCCAGCGACGCCGCGUGAGUGAAGAAGUCUUUCGGUAUGUAAAGCUCUAUCAGCAGGGAAGAAAAUGACGGUACCUGACUACGAAGCCCCGGCUAACUACGUGCAAGCCGCCGCGGGAAGACGGAGGGGGCAAGCGUUAUCCGGAUUUACUGGGUGUAACGGGAGCGUAGACGGUGCAGCAAGUCUGAUGUGAAAGGUCGGGGCCCAACCCCGGGACUGCAUUGGAAACUGUUGAACUGGAGUACAGGAGGGGUAAGCGGAAUUCCUAGUGUAGCGGUGAAAUGCGUAGAUAUUAGGAGGAACACCAGUGGCGAAGGCGGCUUACUGGACUGUAACUGACGUUGAGGCUCGAAAGCGUGGGGAGCAAACAGGAUUAGAUACCCCAGUAGUC
Molecule: ribosomal RNA, 440 nt
Filed under: uncultured bacterium
Lineage: Bacteria
Description: partial 16S ribosomal RNA
Rfam family: Bacterial small subunit ribosomal RNA
Source: RNAcentral